Molecule: ribosomal RNA, 303 nt
Filed under: uncultured bacterium
Lineage: Bacteria
Description: partial 16S ribosomal RNA
Rfam family: Bacterial small subunit ribosomal RNA
Source: RNAcentral
AGCAGUAGCCGCGGUAAUACGGGGGGGGCAAGUGUUAUUCGGAAUGACUGGGCGUAAAGGGCACGUAGGCGGUGAAAAGGGUGGAAAGUGAAAGUCGCCAAAACACUGGCGGGGUGCUUUCUUGACCAUUUCACUUGAGUGAGAUAGGGGAGAGUGGAAUUUCGUGUGGAGGGAUCAAAUCCUAAGAUAUACGAAGGAACGCCAACCGCGAAGGCAGCUCUCUGGGUCCCCACUGACGCUGGGGUGCGAAAGCAUGGGGAGCAAACAGGAUCAGAUACCCGGGUAGUCCCUGUCUCUUAUACA